GUGAGGAAUAUUGGUCAAUGGGCGAUGGCCUGAACCAGCCAAGUAGCGUGAAGGAUGACUGCCCUAUGGGUUGUAAACUUCUUUUAUAAAGGAAUAAAGUCGGGUAUGCAUACCCGUUUGCAUGUACUUUAUGAAUAAGGAUCGGCUAACUCCGUGCCAGCAGCCGCGGUAAUACGGAGGAUCCGAGCGUUAUCCGGAUUUAUUGGGUUUAAAGGGAGCGUAGAUGGAUGUUUAAGUCAGUUGUGAAAGUUUGCGGCUCAACCGUAAAAUUGCAGUUGAUACUGGAUGUCUUGAGUGCAGUUGAGGCAGGCGGAAUUCGUGGUGUAGCGGUGAAAUGCUUAGAUAUCACGAAGAACUCCGAUUGCGAAGGCAGCCUGCUAAGCUGCAACUGACAUUGAGGCUCGAAAGUGUGGGUAUCAAACAGGAUUAGAUACCCUUGUAGUCC
RNAcentral lists this ribosomal RNA (445 nucleotides) under uncultured bacterium. RNAcentral's name for it is "partial 16S ribosomal RNA". It matches the Rfam family "Bacterial small subunit ribosomal RNA", at positions 354 to 796 of the family's 1533-position model. The record is from RNAcentral.